Molecule: ribosomal RNA, 583 nt
Filed under: Aureobasidium pullulans
Lineage: Eukaryota; Fungi; Ascomycota; Dothideomycetes; Dothideales; Saccotheciaceae
Description: partial large subunit ribosomal RNA
Rfam family: Eukaryotic large subunit ribosomal RNA
Source: RNAcentral
GGAUUGCCUAGUAACGGCGAGUGAAGCGGCAACAGCUCAAAUUUGAAAGCUAGCCUUCGGGUUCGCAUUGUAAUUUGUAGAGGAUGAUUUGGGGAAGCCGCCUGUCUAAGUUCCUUGGAACAGGACGUCAUAGAGGGUGAGAAUCCCGUAUGUGACAGGAAAUGGCACCCUAUGUAAAUCUCCUUCGACGAGUCGAGUUGUUUGGGAAUGCAGCUCUAAAUGGGAGGUAAAUUUCUUCUAAAGCUAAAUAUUGGCGAGAGACCGAUAGCGCACAAGUAGAGUGAUCGAAAGAUGAAAAGCACUUUGGAAAGAGAGUUAAAAAGCACGUGAAAUUGUUGAAAGGGAAGCGCUUGCAAUCAGACUUGUUUAAACUGUUCGGCCGGUCUUCUGACCGGUUUACUCAGUUUGGACAGGCCAGCAUCAGUUUCGGCGGCCGGAUAAAGGCUCUGGGAAUGUGGCCUCCACUUCGGUGGAGGUGUUAUAGCCCAGGGUGUAAUACGGCCAGCCGGGACUGAGGUCCGCGCUUCGGCUAGGAUGCUGGCGUAAUGGUUGUAAGCGACCCGUCUUGAAACACGGACCAAAC